This 253-nucleotide ribosomal RNA is filed under the name uncultured bacterium. Its description in RNAcentral is "partial 16S ribosomal RNA". It matches the Rfam family "Bacterial small subunit ribosomal RNA", at positions 524 to 776 of the family's 1533-position model. The record is from RNAcentral.
UACAGAGGUCUCAAGCGUUGUUCGGAUUCAUUGGGCGUAAAGGGUGCGUAGGCGGCGCGGUAAGUCGGGUGUGAAAUCUUGGAGCUUAACUCCGAAACUGCAUUCGAUACUGCCGUGCUUGAGGACUGGAGAGGAGACUGGAAUUUACGGUGUAGCGGUGAAAUACGUAGAUAUCGUAAGGAAGACCAGUGGCGAAGGCGGGUCUCUGGACAGUUCCUGACGCUGAGGCACGAAGGUCAGGGGAGCAAACGGG